UUCCUGGUGGUCCAGUGGUUAAGACUCUGCCUUUCCACUACAGGGGGCGCAGGUUCAAUUCCUGGUCAGGAAA
This 73-nucleotide transfer RNA is filed under the name Bos taurus (domestic cattle). It matches the Rfam family "tRNA". From Rfam's summary of the family: Transfer RNA (tRNA) molecules are approximately 80 nucleotides in length. Their secondary structure includes four short double-helical elements and three loops (D, anti-codon, and T loops). RNAcentral also lists the same sequence under 5 other names. Lineage: Eukaryota; Metazoa; Chordata; Mammalia; Artiodactyla; Bovidae. The record is from Rfam by way of RNAcentral.